GACGAACGCUGGCGGCGCGCCUAACACAUGCAAGUCGAACGAGCGAGAGAGAGCUUGCUUUCUCGAGCGAGUGGCGAACGGGUGAGUAACGCGUGAGGAACCUGCCUCAAAGAGGGGGACAACAGUUGGAAACGACUGCUAAUACCGCAUAAGCCCACGACCCGGCAUCGGGUAGAGGGAAAAGGAGCAAUCCGCUUUGAGAUGGCCUCGCAUCCGAUUAGCUAGUUGGUGAGGUAACGGCCCACCAAGGCGACGAUCGGUAGCCGGACUGAGAGGUUGAACGGCCACAUUGGGACUGAGACACGGCCCAGACUCCUACGGGAGGCAGCAGUGGGGAAUAUUGCACAAUGGGGGAAACCCUGAUGCAGCGACGCCGCGUGGAGGAAGAAGGUCUUCGGAUUGUAAACUCCUGUUGUUGAGGAAGAUAAUGACGGUACUCAACAAGGAAGUGACGGCUAACUACGUG
This 466-nucleotide ribosomal RNA is filed under the name uncultured bacterium. RNAcentral describes it as "partial 16S ribosomal RNA". It matches the Rfam family "Bacterial small subunit ribosomal RNA", at positions 28 to 507 of the family's 1533-position model. The record is from RNAcentral.